RNAcentral lists this ribosomal RNA (305 nucleotides) under uncultured bacterium. RNAcentral's name for it is "bacterial SSU rRNA". It matches the Rfam family "Bacterial small subunit ribosomal RNA", at positions 338 to 660 of the family's 1533-position model. The record is from RNAcentral.
CCUACGGGACGCAGCAGUGGGGAAUAUUGCACAAUGGGGGAAACCCUGAUGCAGCGACGCCGCGUGAGUGAAGAAGUAUUUCGGUAUGUAAAGCUCUAUCAGCAGGGAAGAAAAUGACGGUACCUGACUAAGAAGCCCCGGCUAACUACGUGCCAGCAGCCGCGGUAAUACGUAGGGGGCAAGCGUUAUCCGGAUUUACUGGGUGUAAAGGGAGCGUAGACGGCGCGGCGAGUCUGAAGUGAAAGGCAGGGGCUUAACCUCUGAGCUGCUUUGGAAACUGCCAUGCUAGAGUGCUGGAGAGGUAA